CAUGAGUGCUUAUGCAACUACUGUGCUAGAAAAAUGGCAGGAGACCACAUACCAAGAAAGAGGUAUUACGCAAAAAGGGGUAGGCUAUAUUAGCUAAUGUCUCUCAGCAGGAUGCCCCACACGGAACCAAUCGUAGGAGAUAAGAAGGUAUCGUUGAUUGUGGUAGCAGUAGCUGGUCAUAGUUACUUUAUAUAAAAAAUGGAUUGAAGCAUCAUGAAAUAAUUAAAUUCUAAUAAUGAAAUAGAAGAAGAACAAAUAAAGAUCGGAUUUGCUAAAUGAAGGUGUAGAAGUGGCUGUAGUCAAACAAUAGUAAGGAGAAUUCGCUUAGUCUUCCGGUUCAGAAGUCUAUUUAGUUUCACAAAAUGCUUAUUAAUGAGAUGAGUUGCUAAACACAGUCAAGUCGUAAGACAAAGAAAAGCGUAGGUAACAAUUCGUCUACCGAAUAGCAAGCAAUUGCAUAAAGCAAGACGUGGGAUAUUUAUAAUGAAUAAGGAAAUCUUCCCGUCUGCAAGACCCAGCUAAAGCCAUCUUCCCUGGGGACUACGAAAACCUUCCAUUUUGUGGUUUUGAUCCUCUUUGCCAUUCUUUCGUUUUUAUGGUUAGCCAUCGGUCGUAGAAAGACUCUUUUUUCGACAGGUGACUCUACCUCUGCUGGGGUCAACCAUCAAGGUGAUACCUACAGGCUUGUAUGUGGAUGUAAAACUAGAAUCUUUGGGGCAUGACUUUUUACAGGUUCUGCAUGGAAACGAUCGGGCUUAAAUAUUGAUGCAAUGUAGCCAGAACAUCUAGUGCAGUGACUUGGUGUUUACUACCUUAAGGCAUGCCUUGACUCCACUCGAUGGGACUUGCUUUCAUAAAGAUUUUUGCUUAUUAACUUUAUUGACUCGCCUUUACUUUAGGGUAUAUCUUGUUUGUAUAAGUAAAAGAGGAUAAGACCACCGUUUGCCACAUUUGCUGAUGAAACAAGAUAAAGAACGGGUUCUCCCUACUUGCAUUGAGCGGGAUGCUGCUUUCUUCUCUGUUUUCGAGAUCAAUUGACUUCCAUUGACCUAGAUGGGAGUUGUCUUCUUCGAUAGCGGGUUCUACAUCCGGCAUCCCUCUUGAUUUCCGGGAGAAUGUAGCCGAUUUACUUAGUAAGCUGGGACCUGUCCAAUUGCUAGUUUGGCUGGAUUNGUAUAUCUUUUUUGUAUAAGUAAAAGAGGAUAAGACCACCGUUUGCCACAUUUGCUGAUGAAACAAGAUAAAGAACGGGUUCUCCCUACUUGCAUUGAGCGGGAUGCUGCUUUCUUAUCUGUUUUCGAGAUCAAUUAACUUCCAUUGACCUAGAUGUGAGUUGUCUUCUUCGAUAGCGGGUUCUACAUCCGACAUCCCUCUUGAUUUCCGGGAGAAUGUAGCCAAUUUACUUAGUAAGCUGGGACCUGUCUAAUUGCUAGUUUCGCUAGAUUUGUUCGUGUCGAAAUGCUAGGGUGACAUAGAAGAAUCCGAAAGGAGAUGCAUUGAAGAAAUGUCAAGGCUAUCCCGCUAGUUGGAUAGGCGACUUCUCAAUCUUGGAAAAGCAUCUUGCAAGGGUUAGAGGUUUUGAAGGAUGAGCUGGUAUGGAAGAUAGAAAGCCACGUUUGUACUCGUGACUUAGUGGAUCGAAACAACCAGUAGAGAUUUCGGAUCUUAUUAUACGUGACCCCAAGCCCCGAUUCUAAUCUUGUUUUCUGGUAACUGCCACUUCGAUCAAGUGUUAAACUACUACUUAUGGCUUCGGUCGAGUAAGGUAUGGGCUAUGGGUCGGUAGGAUAAUGCUAGGUCAAUUCGGUUCACUGUCUCUACUCCUACCUAUCCCACUUAAGGUUAUAUGGAUGAAGCUUGCUUUGGGUCCACCACCUGGAAGAGUAUUGAGAUUUCUUGCUUUGAAGUGGGGUUGUAGUUAAUCGAUUAGCUAGUAGGCUAAGGUCUAAGCACUAAGGGAACAAGGGGCUAGCCUCAAAACCCUAACACUAAGCUAAGUGAACGACCAGCAGCUAAUCGACUAAGUGGAUUAGGAUUGUUAGUGAGUGAAGCUUUGGGAAAGCUUACGAAUAGGUAUCCUUUGAUUCCCUUUACAGUAGGAAGGAAUAAGCAUAGUGGGACGGGAGGAGUUAAUACCGGUUAGCCCCUCGCUUUAUGGCUUAGAAGAGUAGCUGGCAUUGGCUCUUUUUAGGGACAGUCGAUCAAGGAGAUGACAAAAGAUGGCAUCAAAUCAACGGCAUAAAGGCUUGGAUGAAUUUAUUUAGGCCAUGGCACUUUUUUCAAUGGCAAAGACAACUUUCGUCGUUUUUUGACUAAAGACAUUCAAUUUCGAUCAUUACUCUAGAUUCCGUAAUCCGACGUGAACUUGCACAACUGAGCUGCGCUGCCUUUGCCUAGCUGGGUGAAGGAUGUAAAGGAAGAGGGCCGACAAGUUACUUAUUUUUGAUUCCCAGAUGCAUUGAAAUAACAAAUAAGCAUAAGCAGUAAGUAGCGAGGAUCACAGAGAGAAGGUGAUUCACGGUGAAGUAUUAAUGGGAGACCAACUACGGGUACUAGUAAUAGACUUUCUUACAGGUCUUAUAUCCAAAGCUCGAGUCAAAGUGGGAGGAAUUGCUUUCUAGUUCGAAGAGAGCCAGAUAUUUGUUAUAUCCAUGUUUAUCUUACUAUACCACUUGAUAUUAGAUAUUCAAAGAUGGUCACUAUGUUCUUUUAGCUAUUCACUCACUGCACAUUAAUAGAAUCUAAACACUUUCAAAGUGUGGUGGAUUUAUAAAGGUAGGUUGGCUGUGCUUGGGUCUCCUUCUCUUGUGCGCGUCUUAACUAUUAUUGAAAGGACAGGAUCAGUACGACCUCUGGCUCAAGGCCUUUAGGCUGAGCCCAUUCAUUCCAUUCGAUCGAUCUGACCUAUUAAUCGAUAAUAGCAGAGGAGGAUUUUUUUGAAUUAAAUAAAGAAAGACUUUCCCUAAGUCGCCUAUAGUAAGGAGUUCUGAAUCCCCUAGGCAAAAGCUUUGCCCAAGCUCAUCGCAGAAGCCAUGACCCAAUUUAUAUUAUAGGGUAGGCCGAAGCCUAUCAGGCCCCAUGUCCAUGGUGCAGCGGCCGCAAUGGUUGCUUUGAG
This 3115-nucleotide long non-coding RNA is filed under the name Lactuca sativa (garden lettuce). RNAcentral's name for it is "long non-coding RNA (LSAT_LNC006890)". Lineage: Eukaryota; Viridiplantae; Streptophyta; Magnoliopsida; Asterales; Asteraceae. The record is from RNAcentral.